Molecule: long non-coding RNA, 5365 nt
Organism: Zonotrichia leucophrys gambelii
Lineage: Eukaryota; Metazoa; Chordata; Aves; Passeriformes; Passerellidae
Exons: 10
Source: RefSeq, a predicted model, not a curated record
GCAGGGGUGCUUUGGUUUCUGCUGAGCAGGGCUUGCCCUAUUCAAGGACUUUGCAGUGUCCCUUGGUACACCAGUGCAAUGGUUUCUGCUGGGAAGGAAAGGAUGAGCGUUGAAGACAGAGGCAACUAAUGCACCUUAAACACCUUUGCUGUGUCUCUGUCCUUGUUUGAGAGGUGACCAUCCACACCCUGGAAGGGGACGAGAUUAUUUCAAUUUUAUUUCUACUACAGGUUUUUUUGAUCCAUUAAUGUAUUUAAAACCACUUUUUUUAUCGUGCCCUGCCGUACUGUCUGUUGCUGUCUCAACAAUGGAUGUAUCUGUGAGAGGACAUCACUCUCCUGGGCAGUGAGUGCUAGAGGACAAAGCCCUUAGCUUAGCAUUGUUGGGACCAAACAAGGCAAGGAGUCAUGGGUUUUCUUAUUUUACUUCUUCCCCCAUUUGUCAUCCAGACUUCAAAAUGAAGACCUGUAAAUGCCUAGCUCUGUCUUGUGUUUAAUGUGUUUUUAUUUGUAUUAAUGUAACCGCAAAAAGCAGUGAAAGAAGAAAUGUGACUGGAUCUCACUAUUACUGUGUGAGGGCUUAUUUUAAAGGCUGGUGUAUUUAUGUUCUCUUUUUCCACUCCAAGCUUGACUUUUCCCCUCGUUUUUCCAGGUCUGCUGCAUUGGGUGUCCCAAGGAGGGCUGGGUUCCUCAGCAGGGGUCUUAGGAGUUGGUGCUGAUUCUACUUUUUCUGAGGGUGUAUCAAAGUGUGCUAGCAGAAUGAUAGUUUUCUGCACUGGAAAGCUUUCCCUCAAUGCCAUCAGUGCACGGACGUGUUUGAAUUGUGGUACCAGACGGACUAAGGAAAGCCAACACCCGUAGCAGAUUUCUGUUUGCUCUGUGUCUGUAAGAAGCGGGCUGUGUGCUGGACAGGGAGAGGCGCUGUUGGAGUGGCAUCGGCGCCAGGUGUGAGUGUGAGGAUGAUGAGGGGCUCGGAGCAGCCCAGGUGUGAGUGUGAGGAUGAUGAGGGGCUCGGAGCAGCCCAGGUGUGAGGAUGAUGAGGGCUCGGAGCAGCCCAGGUGUGAGCUGUGAGGAUGAUGAGGGCUCGGAGCAGCCCAGGUGUGAGCUGUGAGGAUGAUGAGGGGGUGGCUCUUGCCGGGGCGGUUUUAACGGGGGGAGAGUUUGCCUCUGUACAUUUUUGCACGGAGCUGCUGAGUGGAGGGGUUUAUGGGGCGCUCCCGGCGCUGUCUCACGGAAGGACUGCGAGAGCUUCUCCCAGGGUCGGCGGGAACACCCGGAUUCGCGCUUGGAUACGUCCAAGCAUCGCUUAAAGGAGGUGCCGAGGGACGAAUCUUUGUGCCGGGGAGCAGCAGCCGAACAGGUCCGUGCUGGAGAGUGGGAGAAAGGGCCCUGCUGGUUGCCGUGUCCUCGGUGGGCAGCGAGCUCUGACCUUGGCCGGAUGGGCUGCUGAGUAAUGGAACAAUGGGGAUGCGCUUUUAUGUAUUUAGUGACCUUUACAGAUUUCUCCCCCUGCUUCAGACUCAUCACAGCAGGACAGCGUGAAGACUGAAAGUGUAAGAAGAUGUGGAGGGAAAGAGAGAAUCUGACAGGAGCAUUGAACGCAGAGGUGUUUCUGGGCAUCUAAAGCAGCAGAGGCUUGGAAGAGACUGUGAAGAAAACAGCAUGGAAUACAGGGAGUAUGAGGAGCACACCUUUCAGAGAUUCCAGGUUGUGUCAAGCACAACACUUUUUGCAGCAGAUUGAUUGUGUCACAGGAGGGAUCUGCCCAGUGUCCAAGAUGAUGUUUGAGAUUGAGGCUUCAGGUGCCAGCCCUUAUAAAGGCCACAGCCUUGGAAUCAGGAUGAAGCUGGAGCCUGAGGGAGCCAGGCACACUCAGGAGAGGCUGACCGAGAGGCUCACAGGCCAUCACGAGGCUCUCUGAAGCAGACUCAUUUCAGGUGCAACGUGGAUUCCCGUCACCGAUCAUCCAAAAGAUAAGUUGGGAGCCAUGGCCUGGAGAUGGGGGUGUAGCAGGUUGGGAGUUCUUGGGACAGAUUUAAAAAUUAGCGGAGGGAAAAGCAAACUUGUCCAAGGGCCUCUUAGGACAGCUAAAGGGAGAGGCUCUACUUUUGAUGGCAGCUUUCAGGCGGGCAGUGCAGAACAGCUCUGGUUUGUGUCGUGGUUUCCGGUGUGCCGUGUUCCCUAGUGUGUCUUUGGGGUCCCUUUUGCCUUCUUCCCUCGAGGCCCUCACCACAAGCAUGAUGUGUGGUGUUUGAUGUCCCCCUGUUUGUCACGUUCUGUGUCACGGGUGUCUGCACACAUAUGGGUGCCGGAGCUGUUCUGCCCUGCCGCAUGGCCAGCUGUAAUAGGAGAGGGCCCGGGGACUUGGAAUGUGUAAUGUGGGGUGUAGUUGGACUCUAGAUGGGAUUUGUAGAUGGACACAGGACAUCUGGAGCUCUUUAGCUGUCCUGCCGCCCUGUGACUUUUGUCCUGACUUUGUUUCAGAUUCACCUCCCUAGGUGACUGCAGUGGUUCUAUCUAACCCCAACCCUUCUCAAAGCGUGUAAAGGUCAAUAAUUCAUCUUCCAGAAGUUAUCUCCAGUCCUGGCUUGUAUUUUAUGUACCUGUGUUGGUUUAUGUUUGUAUGUACCUAUACCAUGUGUAUCUCUGUUGGAUUAUACUCUGUGUACUCACAUUCUGUGUACGUAUGUUGGCUUGUACUGUGUGUACUUACACAGCAUGUAAGUGUGCUACCCUAUAUUGUGUAUACUUACACCCUGUGUACACUUGCACUGUUUGCCUCAGCUGAUAUUGUCUGUACUUGCAUUGUGCCACUUAUGAUCGCAGCUGCCCUGACCUGGCACGUAGUCACAGUUAGGUAGCACAGUUAUAAAAACUUUACUGUUCAUCUGUCUUUUGUGGGAUUUUGGGUAGAUAAUUUAUUGGUCCAGAGUGGGGAGAAGUUCUAGCUGUCAGAUAAUCACUCUUUAGCCACUUCCUGUCGUCUCGCAGGUCCCUGAAGCUGCCAACUUCCCCCGAAUCUACCAUUUAACAUCAAGGAGCGGCAGCCAGAAGAUGUGAUAGAAGAUGUGUCACAGCACGUUCUUCAGUGUCUGGAGUCAGGGCCGCAGCGAGCGUCUAAGUGGAAAGAGUGUGUGAGAGCACGUGGCUGUGUCUGUGUCUGCUCGUCUCUGCAUGGGUGGGCACAUGCUGACUGGAGUUAACCUUGUGUGUGACUUUUUUUAUUCUAAAUUUAACAAUGAGUUGCAAAACCUGACAGCAAAUCUCCAGCCAGGUUAUAUUGUAUGUACUGACAUGGAAUGUACCCAUGUUGGCUUAAAACCCAGAAAAACAGACGAAGAUGGGCAAGUAAAAACCCAGAAAAAAACCCCAAGAUGGGCAAGAAAAAACCCUGAAAAAACCCCGAAGACAGGCAAGAAAAAAAACAGAAGAAAAUGAGAAAAUACCCCCCAAGAUGGGCAAGAAAAACCCAGGAAAAACCCCCAAGAUGGGCAAGAAAAAACCCAAAGAAAACCCAGAAAAAAAUUCCAAGAAGGGCAAGAAAAGACCCAGGAAACACCCAGAAAAAAUUGGAAAGAAAUUAUAUAUAGUAUUACAUGCAUUAUGGAUGGUAUUGAUUUAUGUUAUAUAAAGAAUUGUUAAAUUAUUUAAAAUAUAAAAUAUCUGCAUAUAUUUGAAACAAGUUUAUAUUUCCUAAAAUACACUAGAAAAAGAUAUAAAUAUAGAUUUAUCAUAUCUAUCAUUUGUUAUAUAUUACACCAUAUCCAUAGAUAUAAAUAAAGUAAGUGGGCUGUUGUUUUUUAUUAAUUUUUUAUAAGUAGUUUAAAAUAUUAGUUUUUUUUGGUAAAAGCAGGGGUUUUAGUAUGAAAAUUAUAAGUACAGAUAAUAUAAAGGUAGAAUUCGAAGUAUAGAAAUAGAUCAGAAAUAGCUAAAGAUUAAUAUAAAAAUUAAAAAUAUAAGAAAAAAUAAGUUGUAGCAGUAGAUAUGGUUCAUAAUUUUAAAAAUAAUUCAUCUCUAUUAUUUGAAUAGGAUACAUAUUAUAUAGAAUGAUUAAUAUAAUGCUUAAAUAUAAACUAUAAAUAUAAAUGUGAAUAUAGUCAUGCAAGUUAUAUAUAUAAAAAUAUUUCAAUACAGUUUAAAAGAAUAGAGCUUUUUUGUAUUUAUUAGGAUGGGAUUUUUAUUUUAAAUAAUACAUUUCUAUCAUGCUUUUAAUUUUAAACAUAGAGAUAUCCAAUCAAUAUAGAAAGAUAUUUAUAAAACCACAAAAUAUAUUCUGUCUAUUCCUAUUAUUUAUAUUUACUUAUAUUAUAUAAAUUACAUGCUACAUCAAUGUCCACUAUAAAUAUGCAUGUGAGUAUAAAUACGGAAAAUAGAAAUACCAAAUUUAUGGUUUUAAAGCAAGGGGGCUUGUUUGCUUCUGAUCGGGUAAGAUUUUUGGCAUUUAUUUCAGAGGAGUUUUAUUUCAGCGUGGGGUCGCCCUGUUUUUUGCCGCCUUCGCUGCCCGCAACCCCGAGGCGCGCUGCGCCCCCGUCUGGGGCGGGCGGCAGUGCUGCCGCCUUGUGGGCAGAGCGCGGUACUGCAGCCGUGCGCCGGCAGGCAGCCGAGAGGCCGCCAUGUUGGGAGUGGCGUGUCGCGGGUGUCUCGGACUGUUCCUUGACCUUCUCCAGAUGGCGGCGAAAAGGGCGGGGAAGUGGAGGACCCGGCUCGGUCUAAUCGGCUGCCUUCAUGAAACACCGGCCCCGGCGCGGCUCCGAUGGGAUUUUCUGUGGCCUUUCAAGUGUACCCGAUGCAGUCUGUGGGGGCCUCUUUCGGCCGCCAUCUUGGGAAGGGCGUGUCACGAAUGUCGCGGACUUUCUUUGACCUUCUCAAGUUGGCGGCGAAAUGGGUGGGAACAUUGCACACCCCGGUCCGUGCUGGAGAGUGGGAGAAAGGGCCCUGCUGGUUGCCGUGUCCUCGGUGGGCAGCGAGCUCUGACCUUGGCCGGAUGGGCUGCUGAGUAAUGGAACAAUGGGGAUGCGCUUUUAUGUAUUUAGUGACCUUUACAGAUUUCUCCCCCUGCUUCAGACUCAUCACAGCAGGAAAGCAUGAAGACUGAAAGUGUAAGAAGAUGUGGAGGGAAGCAGAGAAUCUGACAGGAGCACCGAACGCGCGAGCGCAUGAAUUUUGCUUUUUGCUUGGAUGUAAACUCAGGAGUUGAAAGGAAUUUGGGAGUGAGAAGGGACAUUUCAGAAGGUGAAGAAGAAAAAGAAGUUGUUGUUGUUGUUACAGGCCUGGCAAAAUCUUUUGUUCUAGCUAAUAAAAGAAGUUAGUUUAAAUAAAAAAAAAAAAAAAAAAAGUAGUUUUUCUUUACCUGACUAUUAUAUUCA